AUGGUGAAAUUCACAGUAGAAGGACUCCGCAUCAUCAUGGACAAGCAAAAUAAUAUUCGCAACAUGUCUGUUAUUGCUCAUGUGGACCAUGGCAAGUCUACGCUUACUGAUUCUCUGGUGGCAGCUGCUGGGAUUAUUGCACAAGAAGUUGCAGGUGACGUCCGCAUGACUGAUACUCGUGCAGAUGAAGCGGAACGUGGUAUCACAAUCAAAUCCACGGGUAUAUCUCUUUUCUAUGAGAUGACUGAUGAAUCACUCAGGGCUUAUAAGGGCGAGAGAGAUGGGAAUGAAUACCUGAUCAACCUUAUAGAUUCGCCUGGGCACGUUGAUUUCUCUUCAGAAGUCACAGCUGCUCUUCGUAUUACUGAUGGUGCUUUGGUGGUGGUUGACUGUAUUGAGGGUGUCUGUGUGCAAACUGAAACUGUGCUUCGCCAAGCCCUUGGUGAGAGGAUUAGGCCUGUCCUUACUGUGAACAAGAUGGACAGAUGCUUCCUUGAGCUUCAGGUUGAUGGCGAGGAAGCUUACCAGACUUUCUCCCGUGUCAUUGAGAACGCCAAUGUCAUUAUGGCGACAUAUGAAGAUGCAAAACUUGGUGAUGUCCAAGUCUACCCAGAGAAGGGAACUGUUGCUUUCUCUGCUGGUUUACAUGGAUGGGCAUUUACUCUCACGAACUUUGCUAAGAUGUAUGCCUCCAAGUUUGGAGUUGAUGAAAGUAAAAUGAUGGAGAGGCUUUGGGGUGAGAACUUCUUUGACACAGCCACGAAAAAGUGGACCAACAAGAACACGGGCUCUCCUACUUGCAAGAGAGGUUUUGUUCAGUUCUGCUAUGAUCCAAUCAAGCAAAUAAUCAACACCUGCAUGAAUGACCAGAAGGAUAAAUUGUGGCCUAUGUUACAGAAGCUUGGUGUGACCAUGAAGGCUGAUGAGAAGGAGCUAAUGGGCAAGCCUUUAAUGAAGCGUGUUAUGCAGACUUGGCUGCCAGCAAGUACAGCUCUACUUGAGAUGAUGAUAUUCCACCUUCCUUCUCCUUCGAAAGCACAGAAGUAUCGUGUAGAGAACUUGUAUGAGGGGCCCCUUGACGAUGUCUAUGCAACUGCUAUAAGAAACUGUGACCCAGAAGGUCCUCUUAUGCUCUAUGUUUCCAAGAUGAUUCCAGCAUCUGAUAAGGGCAGAUUCUUUGCGUUUGGCCGAGUCUUCUCUGGGAGAAUUGCAACUGGCAUGAAGGUCCGGAUCAUGGGCCCAAACUAUGUUCCUGGCCAGAAGAAGGAUCUGUACGUGAAGAGUGUCCAGCGUACAGUUAUUUGGAUGGGGAAGAAGCAAGAGUCUGUUGACGAUGUUCCUUGUGGUAAUACUGUUGCUAUGGUUGGCUUGGACCAGUUCAUCACAAAGAAUGCUACCCUGACAAACGAGAAGGAGGUUGAUGCAUGCCCAAUCAGGGCAAUGAAAUUCUCUGUAUCCCCUGUUGUACGCGUUGCUGUCCAGUGCAAGGUUGCCUCCGAUCUUCCCAAACUUGUGGAAGGCUUGAAGCGCCUGGCGAAGUCUGACCCUAUGGUUGUGUGUUCCAUGGAGGAGUCUGGCGAGCAUAUCAUUGCUGGAGCUGGAGAGCUGCACCUUGAAAUUUGUUUGAAGGAUCUGCAGGAGGAUUUCAUGGGUGGUGCUGAGAUUAUUGUUUCCCCUCCUGUUGUCUCUUUCCGUGAGACCGUGCUUGAGAAGUCCUGCCGCACCGUGAUGAGCAAGUCCCCGAACAAGCACAACCGUCUCUACAUGGAAGCUCGUCCCAUGGAGGAAGGGCUGGCCGAGGCCAUUGACGAUGGCCGCAUCGGCCCACGCGAUGAUCCCAAGGUGCGCUCCAAGGUUCUGUCUGAGGAGUUUGGUUGGGACAAGGAUCUUGCCAAGAAGAUUUGGUGCUUUGGACCCGAGACCACUGGGCCGAAUAUGGUUGUUGAUAUGUGCAAGGGAGUACAGUAUCUGAACGAAAUCAAGGACUCCGUUGUGGCUGGCUUCCAGUGGGCGUCGAAAGAAGGGGCAUUGGCAGAGGAAAACAUGCGUGGUAUUUGCUUUGAGGUCUGCGACGUUGUUCUCCACACGGAUGCUAUUCACAGGGGAGGUGGUCAGGUCAUCCCGACGGCUAGAAGGGUCAUUUAUGCUUCUCAGCUCACAGCUAAGCCAAGGUUACUCGAGCCUGUGUACCUGGUGGAGAUCCAGGCGCCUGAGAAUGCACUUGGUGGCAUCUACGGUGUUCUUAACCAGAAGAGAGGGCACGUGUUUGAGGAGAUGCAGAGGCCUGGUACCCCACUUUACAACAUCAAGGCGUACCUCCCUGUUAUCGAGUCCUUUGGUUUCUCGGGCACACUUAGGGCUGCGACAUCUGGCCAGGCCUUCCCGCAGUGUGUGUUUGAUCACUGGGACAUGAUGUCUGCUGAUCCUUUGGAGGCAGGAUCACAGGCGGCCCAGCUGGUUUUGGAUAUCCGCAAGAGGAAAGGGUUGAAAGAACAGAUGACCCCUCUCUCUGAAUUUGAGGACAAGCUCUAA
This 2532-nucleotide ribosomal RNA is filed under the name Triticum aestivum (bread wheat). RNAcentral describes it as "partial small subunit ribosomal RNA". Lineage: Eukaryota; Viridiplantae; Streptophyta; Magnoliopsida; Poales; Poaceae. The record is from RNAcentral.